UCCCUACGGGGGGCAGCAGUGAGGAAUAUUGGUCAAUGGGCGGAAGCCUGAACCAGCCAAGUCGCGUGAGGGAAUAAGGCCCUACGGGUCGUAAACCUCUUUUGCCGGGGAGCAAGGGCGGGGACGUGUCCCGGCCCGGAGAGUACCCGGAGAAAAAGCAUCGGCUAACUCCGUGCCAGCAGCCGCGGUAAUACGGAGGAUGCGAGCGUUAUCCGGAUUUAUUGGGUUUAAAGGGUGCGCAGGCGGCGAGUUAGGUCAGCGGUAAAAUUUCGGGGCUCAACCCCGACAAGCCGUUGAAACUGGCU
Molecule: ribosomal RNA, 305 nt
Filed under: uncultured bacterium
Lineage: Bacteria
Description: bacterial SSU rRNA
Rfam family: Bacterial small subunit ribosomal RNA
Source: RNAcentral